RNAcentral lists this ribosomal RNA (448 nucleotides) under uncultured bacterium. RNAcentral's name for it is "bacterial SSU rRNA". It matches the Rfam family "Bacterial small subunit ribosomal RNA", at positions 330 to 793 of the family's 1533-position model. The record is from RNAcentral.
UCCAGACUCCUACGGGAGGCAGCAGUGGGGAAUAUUGGGCAAUGGACGCAAGUCUGACCCAGCAACGCCGCGUGAAGGAAGAAGGCUUUCGGGUUGUAAACUUCUUUUAAGGGGGAAGAGUAGAAGACGGUACCCCUUGAAUAAGCCACGGCUAACUACGUGCCAGCAGCCGCGGUAAUACGUAGGGGGCGAGCGUUAUCCGGAUUCACUGGGUGUAAAGGGAGCGUAGACGGCCAAGCAAGCCAGGGGUGAAAGCCCGGGGCCCAACCCCGGGACUGCCCUUGGAACUGCACGGCUGGAGUGCGGGAGGGGCAGGCGGAAUUCCUGGUGUAGCGGUGAAAUGCGUAGAUAUCAGGAGGAACACCGGCGGCGAAGGCGGCCUGCUGGACCGCGACUGACGUUGAGGCUCGAAAGCGUGGGGAGCGAACAGGAUUAGAUACCCGCGUAG